This is an RNA transcript of Rosa chinensis, 430 nucleotides long. RefSeq lists it as uncharacterized. The record is from RefSeq and is a predicted model, not a curated record. The transcript is spliced from 3 exons. NCBI's taxonomy places the organism in Eukaryota, Viridiplantae, Streptophyta, Magnoliopsida, Rosales, Rosaceae.
GUGAUUACUGUAGUUUAAUGAACUUCUGAAAAUACCAAUUUCUGUCCUCUCUUCUUUUCAGCAAUUACACAAUGCCAUGAAACCUUCUCUUCCGUGUUCAAUUAGAAGCCUCACGCAGCUCCGCAAACACAAACGCAUAAUCUCUCUCCCUGAGUCCUUGAUUGCCUUCACCUCGCCUCUCAUCCGUGUUCGAAAUUGAAGCUUCAAUCCUUGAUUGCUGGCUGCUUGGCAAUUUGAAAAAGAGGAAGCAUCUUUAAGAACUCCAAACUUUUGAGUUCUUAUCAAGUUCCACUAGUGAGCAUUCCGAGGAAUUGACAUUGAGGAGAACUGGGAUAAGGUUAAGACCAUAUUUGUCCCAACGGGAGCUUCCCUUUCACCAGAUGUAUCUGCUCCACUUGUUGCCACCCUUCCCUUGGAGGUAAUACCUUUG